CACAGACAAAUGAAAUACGUAUAAAACCCUAAAAAAAAUUUACUUAAAAUUAAUUAUAAUCGUCGCCGGAAAAGUUCACCCGAGUCCUUCAAAACAGACUGUAAUUUCAGUUGCAGUGACUUAACGAUUAGCCAAGUUGAAGCGAUCAAAUGGACAAAGGUUUUUGGAUGCCCAAGGGGGGUGCUCAUGUAACAAAUGGAGAUGCAGUUUUUGAUAACUCGUCUAGACUGGAGUCUAAGCGUGCCCGCCAAUGGUUCUUGGAUUUUGCUGAGCCGGAUUUAUUUCCUAGUAAAAAGCAGGCUGUUGAAGGUUCAAGUGGCAAGUUGGAAUCUUCAAUUCCGAGCUCUCUUGCAUGGGAAGGUUCAUCUGGAUUUCAGUCGGUGCCGUCAGUGCCAAGCCAAUUUAUGGAUCGACUAUUUGGAUCUGAAACACCCACGCCCGAAAAUCUUGGUGACAGAAACAUGCCCAUUUCUGGGAUAGAUGACUCAAAUGUAAGGAAAAAGAUCGAUGGUGAACAGUUUGAGGAUGAUCCAUCAGUUGGCUUAUCGAUGUCUUAUGCUAUGGAGGAUCCAGAAACGGGAAUAAGUUAUGGUGGACUUAGAAAAGUCAAAGUUAAUCAGGUUAAGGAUCCUGAUAAUGGGUUGCAUACGUCUAUUGAACAUGGCAUAGGGAUGAUGGAGCAAACGUACCACAGUGGAAAUGAAAACACCUUCAUGUCCAUGGGACAACCUUAUGGUAAGGAGGGUGGAAGUGUCACAUUGAUGGGCCAUUCGUAUGAUAUUGGGGAAGCAAAUGAUAGAUCUAUGGAAUUGGCUUUUGGGAAAGGUCUUGAUAGUACUAUUUCGAUGACUCACACAUACAAUAAAGCAGAAAAUAACAGUAUAUCCUUUGGCGGCUUUCAAGAUGAACAUGUCAUGGAAGCUUCUACUAGGCCGCUCAGCAACUAUAGCUUAUUGUACGAACAAUCUUCAGCUCAAAUUCCUGAGCCUCCUAGCAAAAAGGAGGUGGAUGUGCUAAAUGGCAAUGUCGAUCUUAGAACCACUCAAACACCUAAAACCAAGGUUGAUUCUGCACCUAAGAGUAAAUCGGAGUCGAAACCUGCUAGGAAAGAGGCUCCAAACAGCUUCCCGUCCAAUGUGAGGAGUUUGAUAGCAACUGGCAUGCUUGAUGGGGUGCCAGUGAGAUACGUUUCGGUCUCAAGAGAGGAGCUUCGUGGAAUCAUCAAAGGCUCUGGCUAUCUUUGUGGCUGUCAGUCCUGCAACUACUCUAAGGCACUUAAUGCAUAUGAGUUUGAGCGGCACGCUGAAUGCAAGACGAAGCACCCAAACAACCACAUAUACUUCGAGAAUGGCAAGACCAUCUAUCAGAUAGUUCAGGAGUUGAGAAGCACCCCUGAGAGUAUGCUAUUCGAUGCAAUCCAGACUGUGACUGGCUCUCCUAUAAAUCAGAAGGCCUUCCGCACUUGGAAAGAAUCAUUCCAAGCAGCAACCCGCGAGCUUCAGCGUAUAUAUGGGAAAGAAGAGCUAAACCUCUGACUAUGAGAGUACUUUUGAGAGGCAGCCUGGUCUUGAAAGUAUCCUGGUAUAGCGAUUUAUUUUAUGUGGAGGAGGGCGAGUACUAUAUUCGGGAAAUAAAACAAUGGUUCAAAGCACAACACAUUUCGGGUGGAUUCUGUACCACAAUGAUGCAACUUGAGCACCAACAUAAUAUUCUUCAAAAUGAAAAUUGAAAAUGUUUUGUAAGAACAUUUUGUUCGGCUUGGAGACAGAUUGAACUAAAAUUGAUGCAACUCUGGUUCAUUUACUUGGCCUUUGAGUUGUAGAAAUCAUGCCAGCUUUAUAUGUUUGAACAAAUCCUAUUAGUAAAAUUGUGAAGGAUGUAAGAAUAUAUUAUUA
Salvia hispanica is the source of this 1895-nucleotide RNA transcript. It is a transcript of the gene named DNA-binding protein, with no coding region annotated. NCBI's taxonomy places the organism in Eukaryota, Viridiplantae, Streptophyta, Magnoliopsida, Lamiales, Lamiaceae. The record is from RefSeq and is a predicted model, not a curated record.